Molecule: ribosomal RNA, 392 nt
Filed under: uncultured bacterium
Lineage: Bacteria
Description: bacterial SSU rRNA
Rfam family: Bacterial small subunit ribosomal RNA
Source: RNAcentral
AACGAACGCUGGCGGCGUGGAUUAGGCAUGCAAGUCGAACGAGAUCCAAGGCAUCCAAGUAGCAAUAUGAGGAUGUCUUGGUGACAGUGGCGAAAGGGUGAGGAACACGCGGGUAAUCUGCCCUCAAGUUGGGGAUAGCUCUGCGAAAGCGGAAUUAAUACCGAAUGUGGUCGUGGCGCACAUGCGCCAUUAUCCAAAGCCGGGGACCGUAAGGCCUGGCGCUUGAGGAUGAGCCCACGUCCUAUCAGCUUGUUGGUGAGGUGACGGCUUACCAAGGCUAUGACGGGUAGCUGGUCUGAGAGGAUGGUCAGCCACACUGGGACUGAGACACUGCCCAGACUCCUACGGGAGGCAGCAGUGGGGAAUAUUGCACAAUGGGGGAAACCCUGAUG